GAGUUUGAUCAUGGCUCAGAUUGAACGCUGGCGGCAUGCCUUACACAUGCAAGUCGAACGGCAGCACGGGAGCAAUCCUGGUGGCGAGUGGCGAACGGGUGAGUAAUGUAUCGGAACGUACCUUUCAGUGGGGGAUAACGUAGCGAAAGUUACGCUAAUACCGCAUAUUCUGUGAGCAGGAAAGCAGGGGAUCGCAAGACCUUGCGCUGAUUGAGCGGCCGAUAUCAGAUUAGCUAGUUGGUGAGGUAAAGGCUCACCAAGGCGACGAUCUGUAGCGGGUCUGAGAGGAUGAUCCGCCACACUGGAACUGAGACACGGUCCAGACUCCUACGGGAGGCAGCAGUGGGGAAUUUUGGACAAUGGGGGCAACCCUGAUCCAGCCAUGCCGCGUGAGUGAAGAAGGCCUUCGGGUUGUAAAGCUCUUUCAGCCGGGAAGAAAUCACAUGGGUUAAUACCCUGUGUGGAUGACGGUACCGGAAUAAGAAGCACCGGCUAACUACGUGCCAGCAGCCGCGGUAAUACGUAGGGUGCGAGCGUUAAUCGGAAUUACUGGGCGUAAAGCGUGCGCAGGCGGUUUGUUAAGAUAGGCGUGAAAUCCCCGGGCUCAACCUGGGAACUGCGUUUAUGACUGGCAGGCUAGAGUAUGGCAGAGGGGGGUGGAAUUCCACGUGUAGCAGUGAAAUGCGUAGAGAUGUGGAGGAACACCGAUGGCGAACGCAGCCCCCUGGGCCAAUACUGACGCUCAUGCACGAAAGCGUGGGUAGCAAACA
This 770-nucleotide ribosomal RNA is filed under the name uncultured bacterium. Its description in RNAcentral is "bacterial SSU rRNA". It matches the Rfam family "Bacterial small subunit ribosomal RNA", at positions 9 to 774 of the family's 1533-position model. The record is from RNAcentral.